This is a long non-coding RNA of Cygnus olor (mute swan), 2257 nucleotides long. RefSeq lists it as uncharacterized. The transcript has 2 exons. Lineage: Eukaryota; Metazoa; Chordata; Aves; Anseriformes; Anatidae. The record is from RefSeq and is a predicted model, not a curated record.
CAUCCCUCUAGGCUACAUAACAGAGAAUUUUGGCUAAUUUGGAGGUUGGUACGUGCCCGGUAGCUACCUUUGCCUCCACCAGAUUGUAGUUAUGAGAACUUCUGUGUUACCUGUGUAAGUUCUGGCAAAAGCAGCAUACCCGUAUGGGGUAUCUUUGUGAGUUUUGGCCAAACAGGGAAGUACAUGCAUGCCCAGUAGCUAGCCGUUCCUCCUCCCAGGCAUACUUUGUGAAAUUUUUUGGCCUCUUCCAGAGAGAGAGGGACUUGUGGAUUCGGUCCGCAGACCCCUUCAGGCUACGUACCCAAGAACUUUGGCCAAUUUAGGGGGGAGGUGCAUGCCAAGAGGCUUCUCUUGCCUCUGGCUGAUCUUGUUUGCCUAAACUUUGUGGCUAGCUCCAGAUACAGAUUUACUUUUGGAUCCUGUCCUCAGAUGGCUUCAGGGGAGGUACCUGAGAACUUUGACCAAGUUUGGAGGGAGGUACCUGCGCGGGUCCCUUCACUUCCCUUCGCUGAUCAUGUUUGGAAAAACUUUUGGGCUAGCUCCAAACAGAGAACUGCUUGUCAAUAGCAGCUGAAGACCCCUCCGCGGUAGGUCUCUCACAAGUUUGGCCCUACUUUGGAGGUAGCUGCAUGCCUGCUAGCUACCAUUGCUUCCUCCAGGGAAGCUUCUGGAAAUGUUUGGCAUUCUGCCUGAGAGAGGUUUAGCUCUGGGUACCAGCUGCAAAGCCCUUCAGGGUAGGGACAGCACAAGUUUGGCCAAGUUUAGAGGGAAGCGUAUGCCUGGUAGCUACCCUUGCCUUCUCACCUCGGCAUGCUUCUGCAAAAAAUCUGGCUUCCUCCAGGAGAGAUUUUCUCUUUGUGGGUCCUAAAGUCGCAUCCCUCUAGGCUACGUAACAGAGAAUUUUGGCUAAUUUGGAGGUUGGUACGUGCCCGGUAGCUACCUUUGCCUCCACCAGAUUGUAGUUAUGAGAACUUCUGUGUUACCUGUGUAAGUUCUGGCAAAAGCAGCAUACCCGUAUGGGGUAUCUUUGUGAGUUUUGGCCAAACAGGGAAGUACAUGCAUGCCCAGUAGCUAGCCGUUCCUCCUCCCAGGCAUACUUUGUGAAAUUUUUUGGCCUCUUCCAGAGAGAGAGGGACUUGUGGAUUCGGUUCGCAGACCCCUUCAGGCUACGUACCUGAGAACUUUGACCAAGUUUGGAGGGAGGUACCUGCCCGGGUCCCUUCACUUCCCUUCGCUGAUCAUGUUUGGAAAAACUUUUGGGCUAGCUCCAAACAGAGAAGUGCUUGUCAAUAGCAGCUGAAGACCCCUCCGCGGUAGGUCUCUCACAAGUUUGGCCCUACUUUGGAGGUAGCUGCAUGCCUGCUAGCUACCAUUGCUUCCUCCAGGGAAGCUUCUGGAAAUGUUUGGCAUUCUGCCUGAGAGAGGUUUAGCUCUGGGUACCAGCUGCAAAGCCCUUCAGGGUAGGGACAGCACAAGUUUGGCCAAGUUUAGAGGGAAGCGUAUGCCUGGUAGCUACCCUUGCCUUCUCACCUCGGCAUGCUUCUGCAAAAAAUCUGGCUUCCUCCAGGAGAGAUUUUCUCUUUGUGGGUCCUAAAGUCGCAUCCCUCUAGGCUACGUAACAGAGAAUUUUGGCUAAUUUGGAGGUUGGUACGUGCCCGGUAGCUACCUUUGCCUCCACCAGAUUGUAGUUAUGAGAAAUUCUGUGUUACCUGUGUAAGUUCUGGCAAAAGCAGCAUACCCGUAUGGGGUAUCUUUGUGAGUUUUGGCCAAACAGGGAAGUACAUGCAUGCCCAGUAGCUAGCCGUUCCUCCUCCCAGGCAUACUUUGUGAAAUUUUUUGGCCUCUUCCAGAGAGAGAGGGACUUGUGGAUUCGGUCCGCAGACCCCUUCAGGCUACGUACCCAAGAACUUUGGCCAAUUUAGGGGGGAGGUGCAUGCCAAGAGGCUUCUCUUGCCUCUGGCUGAUCUUGUUUGCCUAAACUUUGUGGCUAGCUCCAGAUACAGAUUUACUUUUGGAUCCUGUCCUCAGAUGGCUUCAGGGGAGGUACCUGAGAACUUUGACCAAGUUUGGAGGGAGGUACCUGCCCGGGUCCCUUCACUUCCCUUCGCUGAUCAAGUUUGGAAAAACUUUUGGGCUAGCUCCAAAUAGAGAACUGCUUGUCAAUAGCAGCUGAAGACCCCUCCGCGGUAGGUCUCUCACAAGUUUGGCCCUACUUUGGAGGUAGCUGCAUGCCUGCUAGCUACCAUUGCUUCCUCCA